UACAGGGGGGGCAAGCGUUGUUCGGAAUUACUGGGCGUAAAGGGUCUGUAGGUGGCCAACUAAGUCAGACGUGAAAUCCCUCAGCUUAACUGGGGAACUGCGUCUGAUACUGGAUGGCUCGAGUGUGGGAGAGGAAUGCGGAAUUCCAGGUGUAGCGGUGAAAUGCGUAGAUAUCUGGAGGAACACCGGUGGCGAAGGCGGCAUUCUGGACCACAACCGACACUGAGAGACGAAAGCCAGGGGAGCAAACGGG
This 253-nucleotide ribosomal RNA is filed under the name uncultured bacterium. RNAcentral describes it as "partial 16S ribosomal RNA". It matches the Rfam family "Bacterial small subunit ribosomal RNA", at positions 524 to 776 of the family's 1533-position model. The record is from RNAcentral.